Molecule: long non-coding RNA, 766 nt
Organism: Tympanuchus pallidicinctus (lesser prairie-chicken)
Lineage: Eukaryota; Metazoa; Chordata; Aves; Galliformes; Phasianidae
Exons: 2
Source: RefSeq, a predicted model, not a curated record
GCCGCCGGUACGGCCGCGGAGCUAACGCGCUCUGCGCAGCGCCCGGCUGCCGGGCAGUGCGGAGCAGAGAUUCGGGCUCCUCCAUCCGCAGCGCUACCAAACGAAGCUGAGCGAAGAUGUUUGAUUUCUUCUUGAACGCUUCCGAACGCCUCGAAACGACCGCUGUAAGGUCUCCGGCGUUCUGCAAGGUCGGUGCAUAGCCUCGGCUCUCCCUGGUGGCUGCGUUACGCUUCUUCCCCUCGAUGCCCCAUUGCUCCCGCGGGGACCCGUGGGACAACUCAACCGGCGGGGCCGAGGGGCAGACCCCAGCAGGGAGGCGCCGUUGCCCUUUUUUGCUUUCCUCUUGCCGCGUCUCCAAGGCGGCCGUUCGCUCAUCUCCUUCUUUGUGUGCCGUGAAGGUCGCCGGGCUGCGAGCGCUCAGUGCCCGAGGAAUUGAACUUGCCCCCACUCCACUGUGGAGACGAAAUUUCACCCUUCCUCCCUGUGCGACUGCGCUGCCCGCUGGAGCCCUCUGUUUGCAGCUUGAGCCCACCUCCCUCCUGCCGGUUCUACUAUAGUUUCCCCGGAUGGGAUUUCCCAUGCUUGGGCCUUUCCUGCAACAGAGCCCAGGACCUAAGGCUCCCUGUGAAAGCUUUGGCUUAACUCCCUGUGCUUCACUGCUUCCAAGCAUACACCGAGGCAAAGCAAGUAUUCAUUGGUAAAAAUCAGCGCAAAAAUUAGCUGUCACCGAUUGAUUGCCAAUAAAAAGGCCCACAAAUCCCCCUCA